Molecule: long non-coding RNA, 362 nt
Filed under: Ananas comosus (pineapple)
Lineage: Eukaryota; Viridiplantae; Streptophyta; Magnoliopsida; Poales; Bromeliaceae
Description: long non-coding RNA (ACOM_LNC029187)
Source: RNAcentral
AAUUUAUUAAAUUUCUACUAUAUAUAAAAAUCUAUUCCCUAUAAAUGGUUAUGAUCAAUUUGUUAAAAAAAUAUCUCAAAUAAGAACAGUUAUAAUCAAUCUAUUAAAAAAUAGCAUUCGUAUCCAUCUAUAAAUUCAAUCCUAUGAACGAUUAUAAUCAAUUGUUAAAAAAUUUAAAUGUUCGAUGUAUAUAAAUAAAAGAACACGGUAGGAUAUUAUAAAUAUUUUCUAAUAAAAUAUAACACAUUAAUUUAUAAAUAUAGUUUUUAUUGUAAAAUUUUGGAUAUAUAUAAUGUACAAAUUUAUAUUGAUUUGAAAUAAAUUAUAACAAUUGUUACGUGUAUUUGCACGUACAUUCAACU